This is a long non-coding RNA of Ficedula albicollis (Collared flycatcher), 301 nucleotides long. RefSeq lists it as uncharacterized. The transcript is spliced from 3 exons. The record is from RefSeq and is a predicted model, not a curated record. Lineage: Eukaryota; Metazoa; Chordata; Aves; Passeriformes; Muscicapidae.
UCCCACGGGAACGUGGUCCAUCUCCACGAGCGCGACUGCUCGGUGCAGCGCCGGCACCAGAAGGUGGUGGAGAUCGCGCCGGCGGCGCGGCUGCCGGCAGAGCUGAGAGCGCGGCUGGCCCGGGACGCCGUGAGGCUGGCGCGGCAGGUGGGCUACGAGAACGCCGGCACCGUGGAGUUCCUGGUGGACCAGAGCGGGGAUUAUUAUUUCAUCGAGGUGAACUCGCGGCUGCAGGUGGAGCACACGGUCACCGAGGAGAUCACCGGCGUGGACCUGGUCCAUGCCCAGCUGCAGGUGUCCC